Molecule: long non-coding RNA, 22846 nt
Filed under: Glycine max (soybean)
Lineage: Eukaryota; Viridiplantae; Streptophyta; Magnoliopsida; Fabales; Fabaceae
Description: long non-coding RNA (GMAX_LNC003274)
Source: RNAcentral
UUUUUUCCUGGGAUGUCUAAUAGUACAACUCUUGAAGAUUAAAUUGGCAUUAGUUAUUGUUGGAGUAGGUUUUAGCUAUGCCCUUAUUAUUCUUCGUUCCUCUUUAUAUACCAUGCCAUACCAGAAUCUUGGAGUCCAAGAUGAGCAUUCACUAGUGAUUGAUGUAAAUUCGCUACGUACAGAUAAUGCUACUAUGAUGCCACAACUCAUGACUUGUAUCAGGGCACUUCAGCAGGGCAAUUCAAAUGUCACCAACAUGCUUUCUAAGCUUGUGAAGGAAUACCUUGAAGAUAAUUCCAAACCAGUAGUAAUUGACCGUAACUUUGUGAUUGAUGCGCUACCUUCGGGAAAAAUCAAUGACCUUCGCAAAAAUAUAAAGCUGGUAAUGGGCGUUGGGUUUGCAAAGGAGUGCUACGAGGUGUACUGUAACUGGAGGAGGGAAAGCUUAAAGGAGUGCUUAAUAAAUUUAUUAGGCUUGCCAGAGAUUAAUGUGGAGGAGAAAAGUAGAUUGUUGGAAUUUGAAAAUUACAUUCUUAGAAGACGUAUUGAGGCUAUCCAGGUCGCUCUUGGAACACUAAUUCCCAGUGAGCGACGACUCUGUGAUAGCGUCUUCCAGGGGUUCUCUUAUGUGGCUGAUCUUUGUUUCACUGAUAUUUGUCGGGGAACCUCAAUUCAAUUGCUGAAUAUUGCUGUUGUGUUUGCGAGAGCUAGCCCUUCAUACUGGCGUUGGUUCGAAAUCAUUGGCAUGUUUGAGGCAUGGCGUGACGAAAUUCCUGAGUUUCAAUCGUUGUUUCCAGAGUCAGUGGUAAAAAAAGCAAUGGCAAUCCAUGACGAAUUAGGAGAAGCAAGCAGGGACAUUUUUAUGAAAGUGAUAAAUAUGAUUUUCCAUAACCCAGAGGCGAAGAUAAUGGUAAGAGCCAUGGAUGGCAAGAUUAAGGUAAUGACCAUUAAUGUCAUGAGUUACCUCAUUGGUUUGGCCGAUCAGACCUCGGAGCAUAAUGGAGCUGGAACAUCUUCACUUUCUGUGCAGAUUGAUCGAAUAAUGAAGCGUUUGGAGAGAAAAUUGGUGGCAGAGAGCAAACAUUUGGGAGAAAGACGGUACUUUUUCAUGAUGAAUAGUUGGAGGUUGGUAGAGCUAUGUGCCGAAAAGUCGGGGUUAGACGUUGAUUGUUUCAAAAAAUACACAGCAAAAAUUCAACAAAACCUCAAACUUUAUCAAAGAAGCUCUUGGAAUGUGGUGCUAGACUUGUUGAAGCUAGAGAACGAUGAUCGGUUUGUGGAGCCUAAUGCUAACGCAGAGUCUAUGAAAGACAAGCUCAAAUUGUUCAACAACCACUUUAAGGAUCUAUGUAGCAUUCAAUCUAGAUGGGCUGCCUUUGAUAUGCAGCUGAGGGAACAAAUAAUAAUGUCGCUAGAAAACAUUUUGUUGCCAGCAUAUGGAAACUUCAUUGGGAGGUUCCAAAAUAUUCUUGGUAAACAUUCUUAUGAGUAUAUUAAAUACGGAAUGUUUGAUAUUCAAGACCAAAUCAACCAUUUGUUUCUCGAAACCAAGCCAAUGAGUCAGAGACUUCUAAAGUUUGUAUCUCAGGUUUGUAGUUCUAAAAACACUUAUGUAUAAAAAUGGAAAGAAAAGAUGAAAAUAAUUUGGUUGUUUUUUCAUUCUGAAUCAUAGAGUCAAUAUAUACACAAAUACAUAUAUCUAAUUAGAUGAUUCUACUCCAAUAACUCAGCAAUCUAUUCCUACAAUCAAGUUAUUCUAAUAUGACUGACUGUUACCAUAUUUAAAGCAAGAAUCAUGGGAUACAAUUAACUCUCAUAAUAAUAAGAAUCAUAGAAUAUUGACUUUCCUAACAUUCCCCCUCAAGUUGGAGAGUGGAUAUCAAGAACUUCUAACCUGCUCUUCAUUGUAAGAAAGGAUUCCUUCCCUAGUAGUUUAGAGAAUACAUCGGCAACUUCUUCUGUUGAAGGAACAUACUCAGUUGCAACUGAACCAUCUUGAAUUUUAUCAUGAAUAAAAUGACAAUCUAUCUCUAUAUGUCGAGUUCUUUCAUGAAAUACCGGAUUAGACGCAAUGUGAAGAGCUGCUUUGUUGUCACAAUACAACAGUGCUGCCCUUGAGUGCAAUAUCCCCAAAUCCUUCAACAAUGAACAUAGCCAAGACAACUCAACAUGUGCCUGUCAUAGCUCUAUAUUCUGCUUCAGCUGAUUAUAGAGAAACUAUCUUUUGUCUUUUUGUUCGCCAAGAAAUUAGAGAGGAUACCAAAAAAAACACAAUACCCUGUAGUUGAUUUUCUGGAUAUUGGACGACCUCCCCAAUCUGAAUCACAAAAAGCACGUAAAGAUAAAUCAUUUUGGGAAGAGAAAAAUAAACCUUGACAUGAAUUGUUCUUUAGAUACCACAAUAUUUGCAUGGCAGCUUUCAUAUGAGGUUUGCGAGGAGCAUGCAUGAAUCUACUCAAUAUGUGCACUGAGUAGGUGAUAUCCGGACGAGUAACAGUCAAAUAAAUUAGGCAUCCUACAAGUCGUCUAUAUGGGGAUGGAUCUUUCAACAAUUCUCCUUCAUCUGACAAUUUUACAUUUUGCUCCAUGGGAAAAUUCACAGGUUUAGCUCCCAAACAUCCUCCAUCUUUUAGAAUUUCCAAAGCAUAUUUUCUUUGCAAAAUGAAUAUACCUUUCUUUGACCGAGAAACCUCCAUGCCCAAAAAAUAUUUCAAGUCACCCAAAUCUUUAAUCCGGAAUUGAUUAUGCAAAAACUUUUUAAGAACAAUUAUGGCAUUGAGAUCAUUACCAGUUAUGAGGAUGUCAUCAACAUAGAUCAAUAAGGCAGUAAAUGAUUUCCCUUUCUUACAUGUAAACAAUGAAUAAUUUGCUUUUGAUUGAAUAAAUCCAGCACCUUGAAUAGCUGUAGAGAACUUGGCAAACCAUUGGCGAGAGACUUAUUUUAAUCCAUAUAAGAAUUUGUUGUGGCGACACACAAGGUUCUCCCCCUGUCGCUGAAAACUAGGAGGAAGAGACAUAAAUUUCUUCAGAAAGAUCUUUGUGAAGAAAUGCAUUGUGGACAUCAAGUUGAUGAAGUGACCAACGUAUUGUAACCAAAGCAUUGUUGUAAUAAACAACGUAUUGUAACCAUUUUAGCAGUAGGUGAAAAAGUGUCAUGGUAAUCAAUCCCUUCAAGUUGUGUGUAACCUUUUGCUACUAACCGUGCUUUAUAGCGUUUAAGAGAACCAUCUGAUUUGUGCUUGAUUUUGUAGAUCCAACGAUAACCAAUAGCUUGCUUUCCAGGAGGAAGAGGUGUGAGAAACCAAGUAUCAUUUGCCUUUAAAGCAGCCAACUCAGAUUGCAUUGCUAUUUGCCAAUGAGAUUGAGAAGCAGCUUGUUCAUAACAUGUAGGUCAACAUCAUUAGUAAUAGUAGCAAUAAAAGAUCUAUGUUGUGGUUGUAACAUCCCAUUUUUCGUAAACUAAUUGUUAUCUAUAAAUAAAUAGAGUAAGAAAAAUGAUGAGGUUUUUAUAAUUAAAUAAAUAAGAAAUAACUUUAUUGAUUAAAAUAAUGGUUUGAGAAAAAAUAAAAAAAGUAUUUUAUUUAUUAUUUGAUAGAGAAUAAAAUAGAGUUUCUUUUUAUAAAAUAAAAAAAAUAGAGUAAACAAUAAGUUAUAAGUACCCUAGGUAUAAAUAGAGACGUGUUAGGUCAGUUUUCAUAUUGACCAUGCCCUAUCUUUCUCUCAUUUUCGUUUUUUUCCUCUCCUUCUCCCAAAAUCCUUUUUUUUCCCGCGGACCAUCAAACCUGUCUCAGAAAAAUGACGAUCUCGGAAUCAUUCAUCGUUGCAUCGUCAUGAAAUUUAAGCACAUGGUUUGAAACUAAAUUCCGAAAAAUCCCACCGUUGGAAAUUAUGAAAAGAUGUCGGAGCUGAGAGAAAUACCGUUCACAUUGUAACUUUUCCUUUCCCGUAGAAACCCAGAGCUAUCUUAGUAAAACUAUGAUCCCAAACUUGUUAACCGUUGGAUUGUCAUGAAAUUUUGAUAUGUGGUUCACGAUUCAUUUCCACAUGUCUUCAGCGUAGGGAUUUAGAAAAUAAUGUCUGUGGAGGGAGAAAGAUGCAUUGCACGUAGGACCAUGGAAUGGGGGCUUCAAUCCCUUCUUCUUCUCCCUAACGUUUGGGAAUCCUAACAGAGUAACUGGAUGAGGAGCUCUAGAGAGCACUAGAAACCCCACAAUUGAUAACGAAGAAUGCUUGAGCGACUACAUCGAGGUAAGGGAUGAGUUAUUCAUAAUUGGGAUUAGUGAGAACAUGUGUAGGGAUUCUUAGAGUAUCAAUUGGAAUGAGUUUUGAGGUGUUUCCGUAAUUUUUUAUUUUAACCUUAUAAUUAUAACUGUGAAUUAUAUAUGUUUGAUGAACCAGUGAUGUCCCAAUGAGAAAUUGCUAUGAAAUUGAUGUGUUCUUGUGUUGAGUGUGAACCCUUAAAAAAAUUGAGUUUUUUUUAGUAACGUUAAUUAUAUUCUAAAUAAUAUUAUUCAAUGACUUGUUUUAUACAAAUUAUUAUCUUGUUCUAAUUUUUCCACAACGAUGAUCAACAUGUUAUGUGUAUAUAUUUAUUGUAAUACUAAAAUAAUAAAUUAAAGGAAGUUGUAAGGUUAAUGCCUAGUAGUAAUUUCUUUUGAUGUAAUAUUAAAUUAAUUGUGAUUUACUCUCUCUGUGUGUGUGAGAGUGUGUGUGUGUGUGUGUGUGUGUGUGUGUGUGUGUGUGUGUGUGUGUGUGUGUGUGUGUGUGUGUGUGUGUGUGUGUGUGUGUGUGUGUGUGUGUAGCGCAAUAUGUUAAACGUGUUUGAAACACGAGUAUGAGGUCGUGGGUAUUGUAUAAUUCAUGAGCAGUGUUUAUAAAUGAAAUAUGUGAUGAAUUAUGGAAUAACAUGUUGCGUGCAAAUUUAAACAUGUGUUAAUUUGUGAGAUACAUGUAAACAUAUGAUGAUGGAUUGUGACAUUAUGAGAUGUGAAAUUGUGAAUGGGUUUUGGUUGUGAAUUAGUGUGUGGUUAACACUUGAUGUAACAUUACUUGUGUUGUAAUUUGUGAAUUGUACAACAACCUGAGUAGUGUUAUCUUGAGAAAAGUGUUGAUGCGUAGUAUUAAAGAGAGUGUAGGUUUCCUAUUUAGGAACCAGUGUUAAAUUAUAGCGCAAUUGUGUUAAACGUGUUUAAAACACAAGUAUGAGGUCGUGGUUAUUGUAUAAUUCAUGAGCAGUGUCUGCAUGCAAAAAAAAAUUAUUUUAGGGGUUGGACCUGAAUCUGGAGGGAAAGGCCCUGACGGACUCUUCGAAGUGUAGGCCUUGAGGGUCACCCGGUUUGAGUGCUCCUUUAACUCUGUGCCAAUCCCACAUGGUUGGAGCAUUCUCGCAAAACAGCGUGACCCUGACUGGUCUCCCUAUGAUUUUACUUAGUGAGAGUGAUCUGACUUACCCAUUGUGUGGAAAUAAAAACAUGUGGGUGUCACCUGAACGUUUACAUGUGGGUGUCACCAAAAAGCAUCUCAACAGUGUACAUUUUUUCUUGUUUCUACUUAAUUUAGAUUGGAAAUAAAAACAUGUGGGUGUGACCUGAAAGUUUAAAAACAUCCCUCCCUUUUUCACUCAACCAAACCACCUUUUUUCUCUGCUUUUCUUAUCUUUUCCAUUGUACCAAACAGAGUGUAGGAGUAACAUGUAGGAAUAUUUUCAUGAAAAUGAAAGAUAAUGUUUUUUGUAACCUAUUUGUGAAGUAAUUGUUCGGCCAGAUGCCACAGAUCAUCCAAUGCUUUGUUGAGUCAUGGACUACACAGAGCAAAAUUUAGGAGAAUUCUGCAAGUUUGCUGAUGGAACCGGUACAUUUUCAGUUUCUAAUAAGAUUAAUAGAAUAAUAAAGAGAUUGGGUAGAGACCGGGCAGCAAGGUCCAAAUACUACAAGUACCCUACUUUAUGCUACCUUUUCAUGAUGAAUAAUUGGAAGUACAUAGUGCGAAGGGCAACAAAGUUGGGAAUAAACCCUGAUGUUUUGCAAAAGAGCGCAACAAUAGUUCCACAAAACCACAAAAAUUAUCAAAGAAGCUCUUGGAAAAUGGUGUAACAUCCCAAAUUUUCGUAAAUAAAUUUAAAAAGUAUUUUCAGUAAAAAUAAAUAAAUAAAUAAAUAUAGAGCAAAUAAUAGGCUGAGUACCCUAACUAUAAAUAACUAUGAUAAGUCAGGUGCCUCCUAUUGGCCUCAUUUUUGUUUUUCCCCUACUCCUCUCAAAACCCUUUCUUUUUCCCGCAGUCCACCAAACCUAUCUCAGAAAAAUGACGAUCGCGGAUUCAUUCACCGUUGGAUCGUCCUAAAAUUUGAGAACCACAUUAGCAACCCAAUUCCGAGCAGUCUCACCGUUGGGAAUUUCGAUAUCAUGUCUGAGCUAAGAGAAAUACCCCUCGCAUUGUAGUCUUUUCUUUUCCCAUAGAAACCCAGAGCUAUCUCGGUAAAACUACUAUCCCGAUUUCGAUAACCGUUGGAUUUGCGCACACUUUCACCGUUGGGAUUUAUGAGAUAAUAUUUGUGGAGGGAGAAAAAGGAAUCGCAUAAAGACAGUACAAGUGAAGGUUUCAAUCUCUUCUCCGUCUCUCUGACGUUUGAGAAUUUUAUCGGAACAGCCAGAGGAAUAAUUGGAGGAAUCCCAGGGAACCGCUAGAGAUGCUGCUAUCACUGGCUAAAGACACAUGAGUCGGCUCAGAGGUAAGGGAUGAGUUAUUCACAAUUGGAAAUUAAUGAGAACAUGUGUAGGGAUCCUUAGAGAUAUCAAUUGGAAUAGGUUUUGUGGUGUUUUUAUAAUUUUCAUUUUAUCCUUAUAAUUAUUACAGUGAAUUAUAUAUGUUUGACAGACCAAUUAUUGUGAAAUUGAUAUGCUAUUGUGUUGAGCGUGAACCCUAUAAAUUGAGUAUUUUUUCUAAUUAAUAUGAAUUGAUGAAAUAAAGUAAGGAGAAAUUUAGAGAGAGAUAUUGAUUUUGUAUUUUCUCUUUUUCUUGCUUUUUAGGUUUUUAUAUAUAAUUUAAAAAAUUAAUAUCAUAAUUGAAAUUGACCAAAGUGUUCAUAUAAUUAUUUAGAAUUUGUGCAUUGAAAGCUUACCUUGUAAUUUGUGAUUCAAUAUGAUGUAUGCUAGUUUAUAUAUAUAGAGGUAGUUAUUUAUAUUAAUAAUUUAUGUAAAUAAUAUUGUAGAGUGUUAUAGUAUGAUUCCAAAAAUUAUUAAGUGUUGGAAUUUGAGAAUAUUAUGGUUAAAUUUGAUGAACAUGUGUAUAUUGUACCUUAUGAAUAUCAUUAGGAAUGUUAUGAGAUGGUUGAUGUGAUGUUAUGAGAUGUUAAAGUGUGGACAUGAUAUUUGAUUGUGAAUAAGUGGAUGUGGUUAACACUUGAUGUUACAUUAAUUAUAUUGUGAGCUAUGAAUUAUACAAUAACCCGACCAGUGUUUAUGCGCAAUGUUAAAGAGAAAGUGUAGGUUCCUAGUUAUGAACCAGUGUUAAAUUGUAGCGCAAUUGAGUUAAACAUGUUUGAAACAUGAGUGUGAGGUCGUGGUAUUGUAUAAUUCAUGAGCAGUACUUAUAAAUGAAAUAUGUGAUGAAUUGUGGAAUAAUAUGUUGCCUUGAGAUUAUAAUAUUGUUAUUGAGAUUGAGUAAAAGUGUAAACUAGAACAGGUGUUGAAUGGUGAGAUACGUAAAAACAUGUGAUGGUGGAUUGUGACAUUAUGAGAUGUGAAAUUGUGAAUGAGUUUUGGUCGUGAAUAAGUGUGUGAUUAUUUCUUGAUGUGACAUUAUUGGUGUUGUAAUCUGUGAAUUGUAAAAUAAUCCGACCAGUGUUAUCUUGAGAAAAGUGUAAAUGUGCAGUGUUAAAGAGAAAAUGUAGGUUUCCUAUUUAGGAACUAGUGUUUAAAGAGAAAAUGUAGGUUUCCUAUUUAGGAACCAGUGUUAAAUUGUAGCGCAAUAUGUUGUACGUGUUUAACACACGAGUGUGAGGUCGUGGGUAUUGUAUAAUUCAUGAGCAGUGUCUGUGUGCUAAAAUGAUUUUAGGGGUUGAACCUGAAUCAGAAGGGAGAGACCCUGACGGACUCUUCGGAGUGUAGGCCUUGGGGGUCACCGGGUUUGAGUGCUCCUUUAAGCCUAUGCAGAUCUCAUAUGGUUGGAACAUUCUCGCAAAACAUCGUGACCCUGACUGGUCUCCCUAUGAUCUUACUUAGUGAGAGUGACCUGACAAACCCAUUGUGUGGUGUGUCUUGUUAUGUACUCCUAAGCGCCCCAGGAUCGUUUUUCAUUGAUAUGGUACCACAUUGCAUAUAGGUUUGAGUCUUAGCAUAACUGUUGCAUACGCUUGCUAAUUGUUUAUUAUGAAAUUGAUGUGUUAUUAUGUCUUGAUCGGAGUGUGUGAUUCUUGUGUAAUGUGAUCGAUGAUUGAAAAGUGUGAUUGAUGAUUAAAAGGUGAAUUUCGAAUGACAAAGUGGUGGAAUUAUGUGAGUUAUAUUUAAGUAAGUUUUAUUUUAUUUAUAUGAUAUGUAUAUCUAUUUGUCUUGCUUAUCUAUUAGUUAGGAAUGUCAUAACUCACUCCCUAUGUGUUGUUUGUGUUUGGAUCAUGUGAUGAUCUUGAACUUUGUGUUCGGGGGCGCAGAUGACUAGGUGAAUUGCUUUCAGGAACCUUGUCCUGAAGGACGUCGAGACACAACGCUCUGAUAGGAUGUGGCAUUGGGGUAUAGGAUUUUGUAUUAAUUGUAUGAAAUCUUAGACGACCUUGUUUGAGCCGAUGACUUUAUUAUUUAUUUGGACAAGUUUGGAUAUGAUAUAGAAGAAAGUGGUUGUGAACCUUUUAUCCCUUUGAAAGACUUGUAUUUAAAAAUGUUUUAAAAAAUACUUUUAAUUAAUAUUUAAAUUUUUAUUCCUUGUUUGUAUAUAUGUGAGGGGUAGAGGGUGUCACAAAUGAUGCCGGUCUUUUUGAAGCUAGAGGACAAUGAGUUAGUGGACACAUUCUAUCAAAGACAACCUUAUCAACGAGCACAAUAGUUCGACAAAACCUCAAACUUUAUCAAGAAGCUGUUGGAAUAUGGUGCUAGACUUUUUGAAGGUAGAGAACCUCCCAAUGCACAAUCUAUGAGAGAAAACCUCAAUUUGUUCAACAUGCAAUUUGAGGAAAUAUGUAGCAUUCAAUCUACAUGGUAUGCCUCUAAUAAGCAGCUAUAUAAGUGGACAAAUAAUAUUAUCACUACAAAACAUGAUGUAUCCUCGACCCAUUGCUCAACCAAAUGAAUUAAAUUCAUCGCUAAGUAGAGUGAUAAAUAAUAUACUAGUUUUGGAAGAGUUAAAAGAAUUAAAAAUAAUAAAAAUGUUUUAAAAAUAGAAUAAGCGUAUGUCUCAUUUAAUAUUAGAGGUAAUUUAAUAUAUAUAUAUAUAUAUAUAUAUAUAUAUAUAUAUAUAUAUAUAUAUAAAUUUAAUGUUAUUAACUAAAUUAAUUAAUUUUUUAGUUGUUGUAAAUUUGUUAACUGAGCCUUAUAAAAGAGAUAAAAGGAAGUAUUAAUUAACUUGUGAUAAUUCCAUUCAUUAACAUAUUCUAAUAAAAUAAUAGAUAAUAAAAGUUCAAACAAACAAUCCCAAAUGAAAAGUAUUGAUUAGUUCAAUAAUAUAUAAGGACUAAUUUUUUAUAGCAACUUAAUUUUUUUAAUAAUAUUAAAUGCCAUCAAAAUAAGAUAUUUUAUUUCAAUGCUUUAAAGAUUUUUUUAUUUUAAUUUUUUAAAUUUUACACAAUUUAUGGAAAAUCCACUUGAGUGCCUAGAAGACGUGGCAAAUGAAUGAGUUACCAACAUAAUUAUUGCAUCAUUUACUCAACACAAGUAUUAAAACUAAAAGUUUUAAAUCUUUAAAGAACUAAAAAAAACAGUUUACUUUAUAAAGAUGAAAAGGUUAUUUAAGUCUUAAAAGAAUAUUUACAAUGACAAAAAUGAAAAAAAAAGACUAAGUAAUAAUAUGAGAGUCCUCAGAAAAAUUUUCACUAACAACACUUGAUAGAUUGUCUUCUCGAUCCAAAACAAAAUCAAUGGCUCAAUCAUUUUGAAUAGGUUUAAAUACUUUUUUUGUCCAUGUAAUUUAGUUUUUUUUUUUGUACUUGAUUUUUUUUUUCUUUUUAAUCCUUACAAAAUAUAUUUAUUUUAUUUUCGUUCUUAAAGGACUUUAGACGAUGCUUUGAACUGUAAAAAGGUAUUUUAAAUAGUAAAAAAAAGUUAUCGAAAACGGUUUAAGGAUGAAAAAAAAAACACAUUUUAGAAGAUUAAAACAUUUUUUUAUAAAGACGAAAAUGAAAAAUAAUAUAUUAAAUUAUAAGAAUAAAAAAAAUUAAAACUUUUGAAUAUCCUAGGAUGGCUUUGUGAAAAAUUGGUAACUCGAAAUUUGAAUAUCCUGGGAUGGCUUUAUUUAAUUAAAAGUGUUUUAAACUUUUUUUCUUUUAUGGAACUUGACUUGUUGUGAAAGACUUUUGGUCCAUUUCUUCAAAAUUUCAUACGCGUGAUUUCCUUGAAAUUUCAUCAUAAAUUCAUUGAUCUUUCAGUGUGGAAAAACAAUAAAACAAACUGAUAGGUCAAUUGCUUUAGACUUUUUGUUCCUUUGCUCGAAAUUUCUUCUCAAUAAAUGGGUGAGUUUCUAAUUAAUCCUAAGCCAGAAAAUAAAAAUGCUUGUUCUCUAGUCUGUAUAUCUAUCUAGCAUUCUUUCAAUCUUUAACCACACACCUUUAGUUUCUUUAUGUUUUCCAGCAGGCAAAGGCUCUAGAGGAUCCAACUUUAACCACAUAUCGGGGUUAGACGUUGACUGUUUCAAAAAAUACACAGCAAAAACUCAACAAAACCUCAAACUUUAUCAAAGAAGCUCUUGGAAUGUGGUGCUAGACUUGUUGAAGCUAGAGAACGAUGAUCAGUUUGUGGAGCCUAAUGCUAACGCAGAGUCUAUGAAAGACAAGCUCAAAUUGUUCAACAACCAAUUUAAGGAUCUAUGUAGCAUUCAAUCUAGAUGGGUUGCCUUUGAUAUUCAGCUGAGGGAACAAAUAAUAAUGUUGCUAGAAAACAUUUUGUUGCCAGCAUAUGGAAACUUCAUUUGGAAGUUCCAAAAUAUUCUUGGUAAACAUGCUUAUGAGUAUAUUAAAUACGGAAUGUUUGAUAUUCAAGACCAAAUCAACCAUUUGUUUAUCGGAAGCAUGCAAAUGAAUCAGUACCUAAAAGUGACAGAGAGAGUCUUAAAAGUUAAUUUGUAUCUCAAACCACUCAAACCGCGUCAUUACUCAACCGCGUGGAAGAGACUUUGUAGGUAAUAUGAUAUAUGAAUUUAUUAUAUGUUUUUAUUUUUUUAUAAAUAUUUAAUUUUUGAAUUAUUUUUAACAAAUUUUUAUUUUAUGUUGAGUUUUUAAUAAAAUAAUAAUUUUUUCCUUGUUAAUUUUUAGUGUUUAAUAAAUUAAUAAAUUUUAUAUUUAUUAUUGGUCUGAAUUAAAAUAAAAUUUAUUAAUUUAUCAGGAAGUAAGAUAAAAUAUUAAUAACAAAAAAUAAACUGUUAUCUUAUUAACAACUUAUGCUAAAACAAAAAUUUAUUAAAAAAUAAACAUCAAAAUUAAAUAUUUAUUAAAAAUAAAAAAAAUAUAUUUAAGUUCAUUUUAUAUAUCUUUCUUCUUAUCAUAUAUCAUAUGAGUUAAAAGGUGUCUAAUUAAUAGCAUGGAUGUGGACGGAUCUUUAUCCUAUAAUUUAUUAUAGCAUAUAAGGUUUUUGUCCCUUUCCUUGAAAUUUCAUCUGAAGAUACAGGUGGGUUUCUCAUCCUAAGCCAGAAAUGAUUGCUCUGUAGUCUGUAUAUAUUAUCUGUUAAAGCAACUCUUACUCACUACAUAAAAAACAUGACGCUUUUGGCCAUCAAAAUGACUAGAUGGCUGACUCAGGUAGCGGUAUGGAGAUUUGUUGGUUUUGUUUCAACUAUUGUUGGACUUGUUUGUUACGGUCUCAGCUCCUCCUUCAACUACCUAUUUGGAGAGUGGAGCUUGUUGAAGAUCUUUCUUUACAGUGGUUUUAGUCUCUUCAUCUGCCUUGGGAAUCUGUUUGCAAAGGUAUGUCGACCCUCAACCUCAACGAGUCUCCGAUUCAAAGCUCAUUCAUCAUUCUUGGUUUUGACCAUCACAUCUGUGUAUUCCUAUUUUGCUGACAAAGCUAUGAAUGGAAAACCAGAUGUAUAUAGCUUGAUUUCAUGUGUUUCCUUUGCUAUCAUGUCGUUCAGCCUCUCAAGGCAAACUCAGUGUGGAUUUGAAGUGGAUCUUUUUUAUUUUUUCCUUGGAUGUUUAAUUGUAUUACUCUUGAAGAUUAAAUUUGCAUUAGCUGUUGUUGGAGUAGGAUUCAGCUAUUCCCUUAUUAUUCUUCGUUCCUCUUUAGACACCGCAUUGCACCAUAAUCUUGGGGCCCAAGUUGAUCAACUGGCUAGUACUACUGAUACUUCUGCAGUAGUGCUUUUCGUUGAUCAACUGGGCCGUACUGAUAUUGAUGUAGCAGCAGUGCAAGAUAUCGUUGUCGAAGGGCAACGGGAUAAUGCACAACGUGAUAAUGCUAGUAUGAUGCAACAACUCAUGGCUUGCAUUGAAGUUCUUAGGCAGGGCAAUUCGAAUCUCACCAACAUGCUUUUGGAGCAUACAAAAGAAUACUUUGAUGAUAAAUCAGAACUAGCUGGUGUGGACCAUAACUUUGUGAUUGAUGCGCUACCAUCUGGAAAAAUCAACGACCUUGAGGAAACCAUAAAGCUCAUGGUGGACGAUGGACUUGAGAAAGAGUGCUGCGAUGUGUACUGUAAUUGGCGGAGGGAAAGCUUAGAGCAGUGCAUAAUAAAUUUAUUACGGUUACAAGGGAUCAACAUCGAGGAAAAACUUGAACAGAGGGAAUUUCAAUAUUACAUUUUAAGAUGGAUUAAAGCUGUCAAUGUUGCUCAUAGGAUACUAUUUCCCAGUGAGCGACGACUCUGUGAUUGCAUCUUCUCGAGGUUCUCUUCUGUUGCUGCUCUUUGUUUCAAUGAGGUUUGUAGGGGAGCCCUGAUUCAAUUGCUCAAUUUUGCUGAAGCUGUUGCAAGUGGAAGCCCUUCAGAGUGGCGUUUGUCCAAAAUCCUUGACAUGUUUGAGACAUUGCGUGACCUGAUUCCUGAGUUUCAAUCGUUGUUUCCUGAGUCAAUGGUAAAGGAAGUAAUGAAAGUCCAUGACAAAUUAGGUGAGGCAAGCAGGGUCAUUUUCAUGAACAUGGAAAAUGUGAUUUUCCAUAUCCCAGAGACCAAGGUAAUUGCCCCGGCAGAUGGCAGGGUUCACCUAAUGACCAAACACGUCAUUCGCUACCUCGUUUUUACUAGUCGGGCACAAAAGAUCUUGGAGCAAAUUUUAGAACAAUACCCCAAGUUUGCUAAUGAAGUGGCAAAAUCUAAUUCAGUUUCUGAUCAGAUUGAUCAAGUAAUUAAGCGAUUGGAGACAGAACUUGUCACAGUGUCCAAAAACUACGACAAGCCUGCUUUGCGUUACUUUUUCUUGAUGAAUAAUUGGAGGUGUGUAGAGCUAGAGGCAAUUAAGUUGAGAUUAAACCUUGGUUGUUUCCAUAAAGACACAACAAAAGUGCAACAAAACCUCGAACUUUAUCAAAGUAGUUCUUGGAAUAUGGUGCUAAACUUUUUGAAGCUAGAGAACAACGAGCUAGUGGAGCCUAAUGCGAACGCAGAGUCACUGAAAGGCAGCCUCAAUUUGUUCAACAUGCACUUCAAGGAUAUAUGUAGCACUCAAUCUAGAUGGCUUGCCUUUGAUAAGCAGCUAAGUGAAAAAAUAAUAAUGUCACUCCAACACAUCUUGUUGCCAGCAUAUGGGAACUUCAUUGAGAAGUUGCAAGAUGUUCUUGGUAUACAUGCUUCUGAGUAUAUUAAAUAUGGAUUGUUUGAUAUUAAAGACCAACUCAACCAUUUGUUUCUUGGAAGCAUGCCAAUGAAUCAGUAUCUGAAAGACAAGGAAAAAUUGUUAAAGCUUGCAUAAACUGAUAUAUAAACUUUUUGUUAUCAUAGAAGUUGUUGUAAUAAGAUUUAUGACUUGUACUACAUGCCCUUCUAUGUUUUCCUUUUAGAAUGCAAACACAUUUUUCCUUUCUGUGUUGUUUUUGUAUUUUAGAUUGGCAUGAAUCAACUCGAAGUCCAAGUUGCAAAGGAGAACAUACUUUGGUUUUAUUGGGGGAGAAAUAACUGUAAAAAAAUUUGUCGACGGCUAUGUUGCGAUAAUUUUCUUCCAAUUUACAAGUUUGUUUCCAUUUCAAGCCUCUUUUUCCCUUUUGCAACAUUACAUUUUAUGGAGUCAAUCCAAAGAUGCCACCGUUUAAAAAUGAAUUUAAAACUCAUUGCUUAAUUCGUGCUAAGUUUAUUUUUAAGUAAUUAAAUAUGCUUCCAAUUAAACAUUUUUGCAACAUUACAUCAUUCAAGGGGUGUCUUGUUUAUAGCUCUUUGUACUCCAUGGUUAUUUUUGGACUACAAUAUGUUUUUUUAGAUCCACGAUAAAUUAGUAAAUUUUGUAUUUUCUCUUUAAUAAAGUAGUCUCUCAAAAAAGAAAAAUUCGAAUUUAGUUACUAAAUGUACAAAAAGCACGAAAAAUUAAUCCUAUACAUAAUUUAAUGACAAAUUGAUUCCUUAAUUUUAUAACUUAAUAUUAAAUUAUUUCUCAAAAAAUACAAUUUAAAUUGGUCCUUGGAUAUCACAACCUAAUGACAAAAUGAUUUCACAAAUUUAACAACAAAACAAAUUUGUUGUAGUUUUUGCACAUCCAAAAAUUAAAUUUGUAUUUUUUAGACCAAUUUAUCAGUGCAUUACAUCUUCAGGGACCAAUGACCAAUUUGAUUAUUUACCCUUAGACUUUUGGUCACUUUCCUUGAACUUUCAUACACAUUAAAGAUAAAUAUAAGAUAAAUAAUCAAAUUUGUCCAUGAAAGUGUGAAGCAUUGACAAAUUGUAAAAAAUGCGACUACUUAAUCCAACAAAUAAUUUAAUAACAAAUUAAUCCGUGAAGUUUGAAAUACGAGACCAGAUUUAGCUAUUUACCCAAUAUAAUACUUGUUACACAAGACAAGAUUUUGUAUCCCUUUCCUCGAAGUUCAUCUGAAGAAACAGGAGAGAUUCUCAACCUAUACGUAGAAAAUGCGCUCUCUCUCUAAUCUCUACAUAUUUGUCUGCUGUGAAAGCAAUUCUUACCAUCUCUCACACUUACAGAUUAUCAAGAUGUUGAACACUCUCACACUUACAGAUUCAGGGAAGAGAGAAUAUGCACACACAUAUGGAGAGGGGGAUAGGGAAAUUGAUAGGAAGUGAAAUUUUGUUAUAGCUUCACUCACACAGAGAGUUGUUGUACAAGCAAUGACUCCCUUAUAUAGGUGAGUUUCUAACAAUUACAAACAAAUCAAAAUUAACUAGCUAACUGAAUUAUAACUAACACAAGAACCUUCAGCAAACUAUAAUGCCGAUGGUGGACAAUGGGUUUGAAAAGGAGUGCUGCCACGUGUACUGUAAUUUGUAAUUUAUGAGUUGUAAGAGAUCAACAUGAAGCAGAAACGUGAAGGGAAACAAUUGGAAGAGUACAUUAUUGGAAGAUGGAUUAAAGCUCUCAUGGUGGCUCUUAAGAUACUAUUUCUAAGUGAGCGACAACUCUGUGAUCGCUUGUCUUCUCGGGGUUCUCUUCUCUUCUGUUCCUGAUCUUUGUUUCACUGAGGUCUCCCUGGGAGACACAGUUAAAUUGCUGAAUUAUGCUGAUAUGCUUUCAAAUAUCCUUGACAUGUGUGAGACAUUGCGUGACCUAUUCCUGAUAGUCAAUCAGUGCUUCAGGAGUCUCUGGUUAAGGAAUUAAGGACAGCCCACAUCAGAUUAGAACUGUGUUUGGUUGUGAGAAAACAAAGGGAAAGAAGGAAAAAAUAUGUGAAAAAAAAGAGAAAUAGAAUAAACAUUUGGUUGGAGUCAAAUGCAAUGGAAUACAGAAAAAAUAUAUGCAUUAAAGUUGUUUAGUAGGUAAAAAAAAAUGAUACGUUGAUGAAAAUAUCAUUUUACCUCUAAGUAUAAAAAUGUUGAGUUUUUUUAUUUUUUUUUAUAAAAAAAAACCAUGUAAGUUAUUUUUAAAUUUUGGACACUUGAGUUCGUGUGAGCCAGAGCUAGCUGAAGAAAAUAAAUUAGAGUUUUCACAAAAUCAUGCUGCGUGGUUAUGAAACCGUGCUCCAUUAAAACGUACGUGCUCCGGAACAACAUUCUAUGCCCACAUGUUACAAGGAUUUUUAUUAGAAAAAAAACUGUACUUAUGGUUCUUCCCAAUAUUGUUCUGUAAUUGUCUUUCAUGCGGUCCUAAGCUUGAUAAUUUUAAAUAUUUAUUGAAGUGCUCUGGCUAGACAUGAGUAGGUGUUGUGGACCUUGAGGCUGAUGCCACAUGCUGAAUUUGAAAGAAAACCGUUACGCUGUAAAGCAUAAUCGAUUAUACUUAAGAGGAAGGCAACUUGGGAAAAGCAUCUCAACAGUGUACAUCUUUUCUUGUUUCUACUUAAUUUAGAUUGGAAAUAAAAACAUGUGGGUGUCAUCUGAAAGUUUAAAAACAUCCCUCCCUUUUUCACUCAACCAAACCUCCUUUUUUCUCUGCUUUCCUUAUCUUUUCCAUUGUACCAAACAGAGUGUAGGAGUAACAUGCAGGAAUAUUUUCAUGAAAAUGAAAGAUAAUGUUUUUUGUAACCUAUUUGUGAAGUAAUUGUUCGGCCAGAUGCCACAGAUCAUCCAAUGUUUUGUUGAGUCAUGGACUACACAGAGCAAAAUUUAGGAGAAUUCUGCAAGUUUGCUGAUGGAACCGGUACAUUUUCAGUUUCUAAUCAGAUUAAUCGAAUAAUAAAGAGAUUGGGUAGAGACCGGGCAGCAAGGUCCAAAUACUACAAGUACCCUACUUUAUGCUACCUUUUCAUGAUGAAUAAUUGGAAGUACAUAGUGCGAAGGGCAACAAAGUUGGGAAUAAACCCUGAUGUUUUGCAAAAGAGCGCAACAAUAGUUCCACAAAACAUAAAAAAUUAUCAAAGAAGCUCUUGGAAAAUGGUGCUGGUCUUUUUGAAGCUAGAGGACGAUGAGUUAGUGGACACAAUCUAUCAAAGACAACCUGAUCAACGAGCACAAUAGUUCGACAAAACCUCAAACUUUAUCAAGAAGCUCUUGGAAUAUGGUGCUAGACUUUUUGAAAGGUAGAGAACCUCCCAAUGCACAGUCUAUGAAAGAAAACCUCAAUUUGUUCAACAUGCAAUUUGAGGAGAUAUGUAGCAUUCAAUCUACAUGGUAUGCCUCUAAUAAGCAGCUAAGUGGACAAAUAAUAAUAUCACUACAAAACAUGUUGCCAGAGUAUGGAAUCUUCAUUGGGAGGUAAUUUCAAGAUAUUCUUGGUAAACAUGCUGCUGAUACUUACGUUAAAUAUGGAAUAUUUGGUGUUCAAGACCAACUCGAUCAACGUUUUGUUACUUGGAAGCGUGCAUGCCAAUGACACAGAAGAUGGAAGCGAAGGAGAGUCGGUUAAAGCUUGUAUCAAACUAAAUAUAUACUCUUUUUUUUAUUACUAUCAUAAGAGUAGUUCUAAUAAGAUUUAUUGUAACAUCCCAAUUUUUCGUAGAUAAAUUUAAAAAGCUUUUUAGUAAUAAAUAAAUAAAUAAAUAAAUAUAGAGCAAAUAAUAGGCUGAGUACCCUAGGUAUAAAUAGUUAUGUUAAGUCAGCUGCCUCCUUUUGGCCUCAUUUCCGUUUUUCCCCUUCUCCUCUCAAAACCCUUUCUUUUUCCCGCAACCCACCAAACCAGUCUCAGAAAAAUGACGAUCUCGAACCCGUUCACCGUUGGAUCGUUGUGAAAUUUGAGUAUCAUGUUCGCAACACAAUUCCGUGCAUUCUCACCGUUGGGAAUUUUGAUAUCAUGUCUGAACUGAGAGAAAAACCCUUCGCAUUGUAGCCUUUUUCUUUCCCGCAGAAACCCAGAGCUGUCUUGGUAAAACUACGAUCCCGGUUUCGUUAACCGUUGGAUUAUUGUUAAAUUUGGAUAUGUUGUUAGAAAUUCAAUUCCUCACGCUUCCACCGUUGGGAUUUGCGAGAUAAUAUUCGUGGAGGGAGAAAAAGGAAUCGUAUGAAGACAGUACAAGUGGAGAUUUCAAUCUCUUCUCCGUCUCUCUGACGUUUGGGAAUUCUAUCGGAGCAGUCGGAUGAAUAAUUGAAAGAAUUUCCGGGAACCGCUAGAGAUGUUGCUAUCGCUGGCUGAAGAUACGUGAGCCCGCUUAGAGGUAAGGGAUGAGUUAUUCACAGUUGGGGAUUAGUGAGAACAUGUGUAGGGAUCCUUAGAGGAUUAAAUUGGGAUUUUAUUUUGGGAUUUUUGUUAAAUUGCAAUUUUUCCUUUAUGAUUAUAAAUAAAAUAUUGAUGUCCUGAUGAAAAUUGCUUGAUAAAUUGUGCUCUUGAUAUUUGUAUAUUUGGACCUAUGAUUUGGAUAUAAUUGUGUAAUAUUAUUUGAGGGGUUUAGUCCUCAUGUUGUGAUAGUCUUUUAUAUAAAUUGUUAUAUUGAGGAUAUGAAAUGAUAAUUCAAAUUGUGAGUAUGUGAUGAAUUGUAGAAUAACAUGUUGCUUUAAGAUUAUAAUAUUGUUAUUGAGAUUGAGUAUAAGUGUAAAGUUGAACAUGUGUUAAUUUGUGAGAUACGUGUAAACAUGUGAUGGUGAAAUUGUGAAUGAGUUCUAGUUGUGGAUAAGUGUGUAGUUAACACUUGAUGUGAAAUUACUUGUGUUGUAAGCUAUGAAUUGUACAAUACCCGACCAGCGUUAUCUUGAGAAAAGCGUUGAUGCGCAGUGUUAAAGAGAAAAUGUAGGUUUCCUAUUUAGGAACCAGUGUUAAAUCGUAGCGCAAUUGUGUUGAACGUGUUUAAAACACGAGUGUAAGGUCGUGGGUAUUGUAUAAUUCAUGAGCAGUGUCUGCAUGUAAAAAAAAAAAUUAUUUUAGGGGUUGGACCUGAAUCAGGAGGGAGAGGCCCUGACGGACUCUUCGGAGUGUAGGCCUUGGGGGUCACCGGGUUUGAGUGCUCCUUUAAGCCUAUGCUGAUCUCAUAUGGUUGGAGCAUUCUCGCAAAACAUCGUGACCCUGACUGGUCUCCCUAUGAUCUUACUUAGUGAGAGUGACCUGACAAACCCAUUGUGUGGUGUGUCUCGUUAUGUACUCCUAAGCGCCCCAGGGUGGUUUUUCACUGACAUGGUACCACAUUGCAUAUAGAAUUGAGUCUUAGCAUAACUAUUGCAUAUGCUUGCUAAUUGAUGUGUUAUUAUAUCUUGAUCGAAGUGUGGGAUUCUUGUGUAAUGUGAUUGAUAAUUGAAAAGUGAAUUUUGAAUGACGAAGUGGUGAAGUUACGUGAGCUAUGUUUAAGCAAGUGGUAUCUCAUUUAUAUAAUAUGUAUAUUUAAUUGUCUUGUUUCUCUAUUAGCUAGCUAGGAAUGUGAUAACUCACUCCCUGUGUGUUGUUGUGUUUGGAUCCUGUGAUGAUCUUGAACUUGUGUUCGGGGGAGCAGAUGAAUAGGUGGAUGACUAUGAAGAACCUCAUGCUAGAGGACACGGGAACACCACGCUCUGAUAGGAUGUGACAUUAGGAUAUAGGUUCUAUAUUAAUUGUAUGAGACUUAUAUGACUUUCUUUGAGUCGAGAUGACUUUAUUAUUUAUUUGGACAAGUUUGAAUAUGAUGUAAAAGAAAGUGAAUGUGAGCCUUUUACCCAUUUGAAAAGCUUGUAUUUAAAAAUGUUUUAAAAAUACUUUUAAUUAAUAUUUGAAUUUUUAUUCCUUUAUUAAUAUAUAUGUGAGGGGUAGAGGGUGUCACAUUUAUGGCUUGUACUUGUACCAUAUGCCAUUCUCGGUUUUCUUCUUAGAAUCGCAAAUUUAUUUUCCUUUUGGUCUUGUUUCUAUUUAGUUAUAUAUGGCUCAAGUUGAAGUCCAAUUUGCAAUUGAGAAUAGACUUUCAUUUUUGUUCUGAUCUCAAAAUCUGCAUGCAUUGUUAGGAUCCCUUGUAUUUUAUUAUCCGCUUAAGUGUUUAGAGUGAAUCAUCAUAAUUUUAUUUUAUUUGUAAGAAAUGUUUUAGUUGAUUAAGAUCAGAGGAUGUAUCCUCGACCCAUUGCUCAACCAAAUGAAUUAAAUCCAUCGCUAAGUAGAGUGAUAAAUAGUAUACUACUGUUGGAAGAGUUAAAAUAAUUAGAAAUAAUAAAAAUGUUUUAAAAAUAGAAUAAGCGUAUGUCUCAUUAAUAUUAGAGGUAAUUAAAAAAAUAUAAAUUUAAUGUUAUCAACUAAAUUAAUUAAUUUUGUUAGUUUUUGUAAAUUUGUUAACUGAGUUUUAUAAAAGUGAUAAAAGGAAGUAUUAAUUAACUUGUGAUAAUUCCAUUCAUUAACAUAUUCUAAUAAAAUAAUAGAUAAUAAAAGUUCAAACAAACAAUCCCAAAUGAAAAGUAUUGAUUAGUUCAAUAAUAUAUAAGGACUAAUUUUUUAUAACAACUUAAUUUUUUAAAUAAAAUUAAAUGCCAUCAAAAUAAGAUUUUUUAUUUCAAUGCUUAAUGUAAAGAUUUUUUUUUAUUUUAGUUUUUUAAAGUUUACACAAUUUAUGGAAAAUUCACUUGAGUGCCUAAAAGACGUGACAAAUGAAUGAGCUACCAACAUAAUUAUUCCAUCAUUUACUCAACACAAGUAUUAAAAAAAGUUUAAAAUCUUUAAAGAACUAAAAUAAAAUAAAAACAGUUUACUUUAUAACGAUGAAAAGGUUAUUUAAGUCUUAAAAGAAUAUUUAUAAUAAUUAGAUAAAUAAUAAAAAAAAUUGUAAUAUUUUGCAUUUUAUCUGCAUAAUUUAAAAUGAUAGAAUCUAAAGUGAAUUUUGAUUUUAAAUUUCUAAUACCAUUAUCUAGAAUUAGAUUAAAUAAUAAAAAAUAUACAAAGAUUUAAGUAUAAACUGAUAUUAUAUAAAAAAAAAUCUCAAAAGAAAUUUCACUAGGUACCAGCACUAACACUCGUCUGGAUCCACAACAAAAUCAGUGACUCUAACAUUAUUUUUUAUUUUUUAGAUAACAGACUCAAACAUUCUGAAUCCUUUUGUCAAUUUUCGAAAAACAUCGGUAGUAAACAACUUCGUCCUUUACAAUUUCGUUCGUUGCAUGCAGUAUAUUAUAUUAUUAAGAAAAUAAAACUUUGGAAUAUCUACUAAAUAUUAGGGCAUAUAACUGGUCAGAGGAAGCUCAGGGAAGGAGCAUGUAAUACAUAUAUAAUUCAACCAUUUUUUUAAAUAAAAAAAAAUAGUCCACGCUAAAAUGAGUUUAAUAGUAACACUAGUUUUGGGUAUAUUGAAUGUGAAAAAUUAUACUGGUUGAUUGAGUAUAUAUAUGAGUUUAAUAAUAACACUAGCUUGGGUCCCUUUGCUUGAAACUAACGUCAUCGCUCAUCCGCGUGAAAGAGAAAUAUAACUUAUUACCUCUUGUUUAUGAUAAAAUAAGAUACACUGAAACUUGUUUCUUAUUAAAAAAAAAAAAAGAGAUCGGAAAAGAGUAUUACAAUAGACCAGGUUUUGGUCCCUUUCUGCGAAAUUUCGUCCGAACAAACGGAUCAUCUCCUACAUAAGAAAUGCUUGCUCUCUAUAAAUUGAUCUAUCUGUUAAAACAACUCUUCAUCACUUCAGAGAAAACGUGAAAUCUUUGACAACACAAAUCGUGACAUGGCUGAAGCAGGUAGCAGUAUGGAAAUUUGUUGGUUUUUCUUUCAACUGUUGUUGGUCCAUUUCUUCAAAAUUUCAUACGCGUGACUUCCUUGAAAUUUCAUCAUAAAUUCAUUGAUCUUUCAGUGUGGAAAAACAAUAAAACAAACUGAUAGGUCAAUUGCUUUAGACUUUUUGUUCCUUCACUCGAAAUUUCUUCUCAAUAAAUGGGUGGGUUUCUAAUUAAUCCUGAGCCAAAAAAUAAAAAUGUUUGCUCUCUAGUCUGUAUAUCUAUCUAGCAUUCUCUCUAUCUUUCUCCUUCCUAUUUCUCUCCUUAUCUUUCUUUCUUUCCUUCUUUCAAUCUUUAACCACACACCUUUUGUUUCUUUAUGUUUUCCAGCAGGCAAAGGCUCAAGAGGAUCCAACUUUAACCACAUAUCCCGUCUGAAAGUAUUUAUUUUCCCAUUUCAGAUAAAACAUGACUUCUUUGACCAUCCAGAUGGCGAGAUGGCUGAAGAAGGAAGCAGUAUGGAGAUAUGUGGGGUUCGUUUCAACUAUUCUUGGACUACUCUGUUAUGGUCUCAGCUCCUCCUUCAACUCUCUCUUCGGAGAGUGGAGCUUGUUGAAGAUCUUUCUUUACAGUGUUUUUAGUCUCUUCAUCUGCCUUUGGAGUCUUUUUCCAAAGGUAUGGCAAUACUCAACUAGUCUCCGACUCAAAGCUCAUUUAGCAUUCUUGGUUUUGACCAUUACAUCUGUGUAUUCCUAUUUUGCGGAUAAAGUUGUGAAUCGAAAACCAGAUGCAUAUAGCUUGAUUUCUUCUGCUGCCUUUGCUAUCGUGUCCCUCAGCCUGUCAAGGCAAACUGAGUGUGGAUUUGAAGUGGAUUUUCUUUAUUUUUUCCUGGGAUGUCUAAUAGUACAACUCUUGAAGAUUAAAUUGGCAUUAGCUAUUGCUGGAGUAGGUUUCAGCUAUGUUCUUAUUAGUUUUCAUUCCUCCUAAGAUACCACAUCAUACCAGAAUCUUGGAGUCCAGGAUGAGCAUUCAGUAGUGAUUGAUGUCAAUUCGCUACGUACAGAUAAUGCUAGUAUCAUGCCACAACUCAGGACUUGUAUCAGGGCACUUC